This 834-nucleotide long non-coding RNA is filed under the name Homo sapiens (human). RNAcentral's name for it is "non-protein coding lnc-PGS1-1:9". The record is from RNAcentral. Lineage: Eukaryota; Metazoa; Chordata; Mammalia; Primates; Hominidae.
GGGGGCGCCGCUUCGGGAGAGCGGGCAGUUCUAGGAGGCCGACCUGGAGAGCCUCCCGGUUCCCCUUCCCCUUUUCCCGGACCCCGCGGGGACACCCCCUCGCCGCCACCCGGGCCUCCCCGAGGGCCCAACUGCGGGUCAGGCGGCCCGGGCCAGCCGAAAGGGAAGUGGGGCUACCCCACAGCCAGGCAGCGGGGCUGGGGUCAGACCCGGGAGCCGGAGGUUGGAGACGUGCGACAGUCACCUGCGGGCAGAUUCCAGAGGGGAGACCCAGGGCUGCAGGGGACGCCCCUUCGUGGCAGCUACCCAGCCUCGGCCCACUGCCAGUGUUACGUGGCUGCAUGACCAUACACUUCUGGGUAGAGCCCAGUGGAAGACAAAGAAGACUCAAGGAAUAGCCCUUGAGGGCUCAGGAGCUAUACAGAUGGGAUAGAGGGUGUGAGUGCUGGGAAGCCCCAUCCAUGGCUCGCUGGAGAUUAGAGGCCUGUUAAUCUGAAGACAAAGGAAUGAAGACGAAAACGUUUCUGAAAAUGUGGGUGGAGACACCUGGGCCUUUACAGGGUACGCUCCAGAGCUGCUUCCAGGCAGGGACCCCGGCUGAGAGAAGCCAGAGCCAGAGAGUCGCAGGCUUGCUUGCUCUUAUCUUCCCUCUGCUGGGGGGGUCGAGGGGAGAUCUGGCCCCUCUGCUCUGCCCUCCUGAUUUCCCGUCUAAGGGAUUUAGGAGACUUUUGCCUUUUCCUAAUCUCUCCCUUUGCAGAAUUUCUGCGAAGUCACAAUCCCAUUUCCAGGCAAAGGUGCUUGGUCAUAAAGAUAAUAAAGAUAUUCAUUCAUGAU